Molecule: long non-coding RNA, 8685 nt
Organism: Solanum pennellii
Lineage: Eukaryota; Viridiplantae; Streptophyta; Magnoliopsida; Solanales; Solanaceae
Exons: 4
Source: RefSeq, a predicted model, not a curated record
CAAUGACUCCAAGAUGGAUACAAUUUCCAGAACCGAAGCAAACGCGUGACAUAAAAAUCAAGAACGAUGUUGGUAUCAAGCUCGAACAACCAAAGGCGCGUGAAUCAAAUUCAUGCCUCACGUCGUUUGCCUCAACCUGCUUUGUUCGUACGACCCGCAGCUUUAUCUCGCCCUUGACAGCCAGAUGUAUUCAUCUCCAUAAUUUGCCUGUACUAACGCCAAGAUCGGAGGGUACUCUCUACUCGUCCGUUGCAACCUUGCAGUGAGCUGGAAGGCGUACUAAUUCCAGCUAUUUUCCCUAAAUUUAGAGAUAGAAUUUUGAAUUUUGAAUUAUCUCGAACGUCUCAGCUUAGACGAUUCUACCCUUUCCCCCUCAAAAGUCGAAAACCCUAAAUCUUUCUCUAUAAUUAUUCUCUUUCUUCUUCAUCAAAAGGGAAUUUUUUUGGGGAGAGGAUUAGAAGGCAAACAAGAGAAAUUUUUAGGAGGUUUUUGGGCAUUUCUUUCUUCUUGGAAAAUUUUGCUUUCAUCUUAAUGUUUCUUUAAGAAAAUUUGAGUGAGAAAUAGGAAAAGAAAGAUAAUAAUAACAGUAGUUAAGUAUUCGAGGAAGAAGAAAUACAUCUUGAACAAAAGUUCUUUGAACUAUUCGGUCCAUGUCACGGAGUUUCCAUUUUCGUUGUGACCGCCCAUUCGACUUUCGAAGUUUUCUUUGGUGUAACAGUGUUGCUCACCCUCUGCUCGUCGUCCCAGUGUUGCUGCUCAUAAGAAGUUCGCUAUGAACUGUCGCCUUCCUUGCACAUCGAGAGAGUCAUUAAGACUCAAAUUCCUCUUUUCGAGUCAACCAUUCAUACAUUCGGUGUACAGAUUUAGAGAUUGAAGAAUUCGAAGUGGCCAGAGUUGGAGAGUUGAGCCAAAGACCCUUUUUUUAUUUAUUUUGUAUCUUUUUUGCUAUUUUUUGGGCCUAAGUCCCUUGUCGUAUUUUAUUUUUCUAUAUCUAUUUUUGAAUUAUUAUUUGCUUAGUUUAUGACAGGUACAAAAGAAAAGUGGGUUGAAAAUCCAAAAAGUCGAAUGGGUCAAAACCGAAAAAUAAGUGGGUCCAAAUAACGGUGCAAGCGGACAGAUAACCUGAUAUGGGUCGUUUCCCAAAGUUUUAUAUGGUCAUUGAAGCGCCACCUCAACUCAAAAUGUUGUAUGAAAAUCUCGGCGGAGAUCAUAGAAGAACCCUCAAUAAGUCUGUGGGUGCUCUGACAGAAUUGAUCAACAUGAACGGCUGGCCAGAACUUGUUGAGGUCCUCACGGGAUAUUGGGAUAGCCAACGAAUGGUAUUCCGAUUUGGAACCGCUGAGAUUAGCUCAACUUUGGAGGAGAUCAGAGACUGCAUAGACACGGUAGGCACUGGGAUAGAAAGAAAGGCAAGAAAAUAAGAAGGCAUUUUCAUCUCUAAUAAACCUUUCAUAGAAGAUAUUAUGGACUAUCUCGGGUUGGGGAAAGACUUUACCUAGGUGCCAAGAAUCCCAUAUAGCAUUCAGAUAUCUUUAUAUCAGAUUUGGACAUGCGAGUUUCUACUCCAUUUACAAUAGAGAGUUCAUGGUCUCUUACAGAGAAUGGAAUGAAAUCCAUCCUCUAGCAUUCACUGUAGCAUUGUUGGGAAUGAUGGUCUUCCCGCAUGGCCCAAGUUUGAGUAUCAAUACCCGAGUUAUAACACUCGCACACACUCUAUUCAAAGGGUACGAGAAGCAAGGAAUAACAAAAUAUUACCUUAUAGCUCCGGUCAUCCUGUCCGACAUGUAUCGAGCCUUGGGAAAGCAUAAAGAGGGACAUCGAUACUUCCAAGGAUGAAACCUACUACUUCAGUGGUGGAUCCUUAGCCAUUUAGCGAAAUGUGCUGGGAAUCGGGAGCUGCAUACUCUUGACAACAAAAACACCCUUAAUUAUUUGAAUGACAUGUUGUACUGGGCAAAUAUGGACAACCAUAGACAAGGGGGAGAUGGGCUCAAAUUUUCUCCGAAUUGAGAGAAGAAGAUCUCCAAUGGAUGAUUGACCGUUUCAUCACCUAAAAAGUUGUUGUGGAUAUCCGCAGACAGGUUGUGCUUCCUCUACCAGGUUUUCGGGGAAUUUGCCCUUAUGCACCCUUUCAAGUCUUCCGACAGUUCUGGAGGAGAAAAAUUGUACCCAAAGAAGCGUACUAUGGGGCUUAUAUAUACGAUAUUGGAGAUGAUAGAGUGCACUACGCGAUUAAAAUGUUCAGAGAAUGGAAAAGUGCCAAGCGUAUGGAUAAAGACACCAUCGCCGCUGACCGAUUCAAUGCUGGAUAUGACAAGGGUUACAAAGAAUGGAUGAAGAAGGACAUACAAAACAUCUCCUCUCAAAACCCGCAUUGCUUUCGCAGCGUAACGGACAGAGAAGACAAAGCAAUGGACGAGCUAGAAAAGAUAAAGAAAGAGUCCCAAGAGGUGUAUGUUAAGUUUGUCGAGAAACAAGAUACUCUUGAGAGAGUGACUCAAGAGGUGGAAAUACUUAGUCGUGGUUAUGAUGAUUUUGAUACCUUGACGAAGGAGAAACUCGAGAGGAUGAGAUACGAAAUAUUGGAAGACAAAGGAUGCUUGGGUGAAGGAUUCUUGUUGAUGUGAAGAUAUAUGCUUCAGCAAUACAAGACUCAGGGGGACGGCGAUGGAGUAGGAUCAUCUGGAGAGGCAUAGUGGACUUCGCCCCUGCGUGGGUUUUUAUACGUAUUUGCAAUGUUUUUAGCCCCUGCAUGGGCCUGCCUUUAUUAUACUUUCAAAUGGCCCCCGUCCCCCUGAGUCUUGUAUUGCUGAAACAUAUAUCUUAACAUCAGCAAGAAUCCUUCACCCAGGCUUCCUUUGUCUUCCAAGCUUUCGUAUCGCAUCCUCUCGAUUUUCUCCUUGAUCAGGGUAUCGAAAUCAUCAUAACCACGCCUCAGUGUUUCCACCUCUUGAGUCACACUCUCAAGAGUAUCUUGGUUAUCGACAAACUUAGCGUACACUUCUUGGGCCUUGUUAAUUAUCUCUUUUAGCUCAGCCACUACUUUGACUUCUCUGUCCAUUACACUGUGAAAGCAACGCGGAGUUUGAGAGGAGACAUUUUAUAUGUCCUUCUUCAGCCAUUCUUUAUAACCCUUGUCAUGUCCAUCAUUGAAUCGGUCAAGGGCAAUGGUGUAUUUAUCCAUACGCUUGGCACUUUUAUAUUCUCUGAACAUUUCAGUCGCAUCGUGCAUUCUAUCUUCUUCAAUAUUGUAUACAUAAGCGCCAUAGUACGCUUCUUUGGGUACAUUUUGUCUCCUCCUGAACUGUCGCAAGACUUGAAAGGGUGAAUAGGGGAGAAUUCCCCAAAUACUUGGUAGAGGAAGCACAACCUGCCUACAGAUAUCCACAACGGCGUUUUUGGUGAUGAAAAGGUCAAGCAUCCAUCAGAGAUCUUCUUCUCUCAAUUCGGAGAAAAUUUGAGCCCAUCUCCCCCUUGUUAAAUUUAUUUUUGGGGGAAUUGUAUAUUGGGUUUAAAUUCACGCGUACAUCAUUCAAAUAUGCUAGGCCUACCCAUGGCACAAAAGGGUCCCUCUGUAUGUGUGAGGACGCGAUAUAUGUGUGGUUAACUGCUUAUGUGUUAUGUUGCUAUGAAUGAGGAUACUGUAAACUCACUCCUAUCUAGAAAUUUUCAAAGAAUAUACAAAAUUCGCUAUUACAAAAUGUCCGACCAAAAUUUCUAAGUCUUAAGUUUCUCACUCACAAGACACCUCUUAUACCACAAAUCCUAAAACAUUCAUUUUACCAUCUCAGGGAAGGCAAAAAUCACUGCUAUGGACAAAGGUAAGAACAUCCAGAUGGAACUCAAUGGAGAAGAACUACAAAGGAAGAUAGAACAGAUCACUCGGAAAAUACAAGAAGCCAAAGAGGAAGGGCUCAAAGUCGACAUGGCCACCGCAAUAUACAAAGUACAACCGUAAUGGUGGAUGAGGAUCUAGAAUCACAGAUGAAGAGAAAGAAAGAUGUCGAUAUAGAUAUAGAGGACUUCCGAGAGAAGUUGGACAAUCUUCGUUUGAAAGUGCAAGAAAGAGAAGCGGGAGAGGCGAGGAUAGAAUCAGAGACAUCCUCUCUUUUAGCUAAAAGCAUGUAACUUUAUGAGUAGCUGAUAAUAAAAUGGAAGAAUUUGCCUCCAUGAGAGAAAGGAUGGCUGCACUGAUGAAGAAGAACAAAGCCUUUCAUAGCAACAUGAUUGAUAAACAUUGGAAAAUUGUUUUAAAAUACCCCAUCUACGAUCAAGGAGCCAAUAGUGGUCCUGACAACGCUUACCCUAAAGCGACUGAGAAAGACGACGAUGAGGAAAUCGUCUACAAGCCUCCAUUCCUAGGUCAUCUGAAAGGAGGAGAUUAAUGCUGCAACAAGAAGGGAAAUGACUAACGUGCCGUCAUCAUUGUUGCCUUUCAAUUUCCUUGUAACCGUAAUGAACAAUGAAUGAAAUUAUUUUAGUUUGUACUCUAACUACGUUGGGACUGAAUUCUCUUUGUGAGAUACGUAAGCAUCUUUCUCAGGCCCGGCCCCUAUCUUUAAAAAUUUUCAUUCUCCCAUUUCAUGUUAUGAGAAGAUACGAAGACCACAUCAACGGAUGUCAAAGAGCAGCUGCAAGAAGACCGUAGCUCAACAUGAUUUACCCUUUCUAAGACAGUGUCAAAACUAAAACAAGAAAACUCCUUCUUGUUAAAAAAAAUGUGUUUCCGUCCUCACUCGUUGGUUGAAGAUAUCCUCAAACAAAGCAACUUGUGCGUUUAUCUGCUCUCUGUGUGAUAUUAUGCAUUUUGUACUCUUAAUCUGCACUGACAAAGUUGCCUUUGAGUUUUUUUCCUUCUAAGGUACUUUGGAACUGAUCUGUGUCAAUCAAAAGCUGGAAGAUCAUUCCUAUUUCACCAAAUCAAAAGGUCCCGCAGAUUCCUUCCCUAGACAAAACAUUGACAAACGUAAGACUGUUAUGGGGGAUAAUAAUGAAGAAGUAAGUCUUACUAAUGUUUUGGUGUCUCAACCCACCAUAGCGGACCAGAAUUAGUUGAUUCUGCUGCUGAUGGAACAUAUUGCAGAGAUGCAAAGGAGACAAGAUCUACCUCCGCCGAUUUUCGCCACUAACGCUGCUGAUGGGAGACCUCCAAUCUACUUCCCUUCCUCAAAUAUGGAUCCAACCCAAAACAAGCCAUCUACACCUGCUCAGAAUCCGUCGGUUAUAGAUCUGACUACCUAAAAUCCCCAUUAUGCUUCCGCAUCUUAAAAACUCCACCUCCUCCUCAAAACAACAAUCCCCAAAUUCCACCCCAUCCUCAAAAUACCUAUCAUCAAACUACUCCACCACCACAAAAUAAAAACCAAAAUCAAAACCAAAAUACAUUAAAUCCCUAAACACCCCACAACCACUUAAUUCAGAAUACCAAUCCUAAGACUUUCCCCCAGAAUUAUCAAACCGCUCAAAAUGCUAAAGUCCCUCUAUAGCUUCACCCUUACCAAAGAGAGCCGUUUUCCAAAUUCCUGUCACUGUCGAGCACGAUGUUCACGGUUAUGAGUUGGACCAUACGAGGAAUGGGAAAAGGAGUUGAGGGCAAACGAAAGGUAAAGGCUGACAUAAAGGAAAAGAUCAAGAAAGCUACGAAAUAUCUCCAAUUCGUCCCGGAUGUCACCGGGCUUAGUUAUGAAGACUUGUGCAUUCAUCAAAAUUUGGACUUUCUAGAAGGGUUAAAGAUCCCAAAGUUUGACACCUUCGGAGGAGUGGGAAACCGUAUGGUUCAUCUGAGAGCCUACUGUGACCAGCUCGUGGGAGUUGGAAGGGAUGAACCUUUACUUAUGUGGCUCUUCGCCGAAGCCUGUGCGGAGAAGCUCGUGAAUGUUUCACGUUGCAUGAAACCAGGCAAUGGCCCAGCUAGAAUGCAAUGGCCAAAGAUUUUAUUGAUCGAUUAUCUUACAACAUAGAAAUUGUUCCAGACCGAUACUCUUCGGAGAAGAUGAAGCGCAAGUGAACUGAGAGCUAUAGGGAGUUUGCCCAUAGGUGGAGAAAAGAAGCGGCAAGGGUGAGACCACCCAUGUCUGCCAAAUGAAUUGUUGAAAUAUUCGUGCUCGUGCAAGAGCCUGAACAUUAUGAUUAAAUUAUGUUGCUCGUUGGAGCUAAAUUUACCGAGAUAGUCAAGAUUGGUGAGACUAUCAAGGACAGUUUGAAAUCAGGAAAGAUAGCCAGCAUAGCCGCAUCGCGUGGAUCUUCGAUGUUGUUGAAAAAGAAAAGAGAAGAAAUCGCUGUUGUUUCAUAUGGGGGAAGGAAAACCCCCAGAACAUCGUCAUAUUCCAAGGGUCGCUCUCGACCUUCUCAAAACUCCCACCAAGCUUGCUACACAUAAGCUAGUCAUCCAAAUAUCCUCCAAUUUAUUAGUGCUACCUCCAUUUAUCCAAACGUCCAAACUCCACUAUACCCAAGUCCACCCCUAAAUUAUCAAAAUUUAUCUCCCAUUUACCAAAAUCAUCCUCCACCCUACCAAAUUCCAUCUCCCUACCAGCGUGUUGCUCCCAACUGCGCUAACGUGUAGUCGAGCUACCAAGCACCCCCUCUUAUUUAUCAAGUCCAAGCUCCACUACACAAAAAUUGCCCUCGGAAUUACCAAGCUCCAUCACCAAACUACCAAACAAAUCCAUAUCCCAAAAGCCAAUCUCCCCGUCCAAAUACCAAAAGUUAUCAACAAGAGCCUCCUCCUCAAAAAGGCAGUUCUGACCCUCCCCGACCCAGAUUCAAGAAGAAGCCUUCAAGGAAAUUCACUGCGCUCACUGAAACCAAACAAAGUCGUAUGAGCGACUAGCUGCGUCCAGAUACAUCCACCCUAUGGGGCCCAAACCCGUGGAUGUCAAUUCACAAUUCUACAUAGUCGAUCAGAGAUGUGCUUAUCAUUCCAACAGUGUUGGGCAUGACACUGAGGAUUGUAUCAACCUUAAGCACAAAAUUCAAGAUUUGAUUGACAAAAAGGUAGUCUCUCUCUAACUAGAGGCACCAAAUGUCAACACCAACCCGCUGCCGAAUCAUGGGGGUGGCAAUGUCAAUAUGAUCGAAAUAGAGGAUUACUGGUGUGGAACGAAAAUGAUUACUUCCAUCCUUCAUGAUGAUUUGGAAAAGGUUGUAUCUUCUUUGAGCAUCAAAGAGAAGAAAGAGUUGUUAUUUUUACACCCGCAAAGGUUAUUGCUUUGUGGCAACAAAAACUCUCAUCAAGCCUAAGUUCGUUAUUGAAACUGCUGCUGCUCAUGGCAUGACCAUAUCCGGAAUAUGUUACACUCCUGACGAUCUUGGUAUCGGAGGUCAAAAGAAGGAUCAGGCUAAAAAACCAAUAAGCGAAGGAGAAGAAGAGGAAUUCUGGUGGAGAAUGCAACCAAAAGAUUAUUCUAUUGUCAAGCAUCUGGAGAAGACUCCGGCCCAGAUUUCACUAUAGGCCCUGCUGAUGAUUUCUCAAUCAGACAAGCAAGCUUUAAUGAAGGCUCUCGAUUAUACGUAUGUACCCGCGGGCACAAAUAGAUGUGUCGAGUCAAAUAAUAACAAAUAAAAGUGAGCACCUUUCGAAGGGAGGUCACACAACAAGGCGUUGCACAUCACUUUGGUAUGCCGCGAAAGGGUGGUCAACCGCAUCUUAGAAGAUGAUUGAUAUGGUUUGAAUAUCUGCCAGUUUUCGACGUUGAGGAAUUUAAGGUUUGACUUCGGGAAGCUGGAACAAAACAAAGUCAACGUAAGAUCCUUUGGUGAGGUUCAAAGAGAUACGUUGAGAUCGAUGAAUCUGAUCAUCCAAAUGGGCCCAGCAGAAUUCAGCGCACAAUUUCAAGUAUUGGAUAUCGAUACGAGCUAUAACCUUCUUCUGGGAAGGCCUUUCAUCCAUAUGGAUGGAGCUGUCUACUCUGCAUCAGAUGAUGAAUCUUAUUUCAAAAAAUGAAGAGAUAGUUAUUCAUAGCGAAGGGAGUCAGUCUGGCAGACAUGCGCCAAUCAUUGAUGAGAUAUCGCGAGGUAUAGAUUUCUACACGGUCGAGCUGGUAAAUGCCACCGGUGAAGACUUGGCCCCAUAGACUCCCAUGCCUGUCGUGUACAAGAUGAUAGCCACUGUGAUGCUGUAGAGUGGUUUUGAACCAGGUUUCGGAUUGGGAAGAAAUUCCCCAGGAAUGGUUGAUCCUAUUCCGGUCCUCGUCAAGGGAUCCAGAUAUGGUUUGGGGUACAUCCCCACAGAUGAUGACACGAAGACGUAGAAGAAAAAUAAUCAAGCAUUGGCUAAGCUGAUCUCAUAUCUGUAUCAAUCUUUCCCAGUCCGGGAGUAUGUCGAGCAUGAAGACCUUAAGGAAGGAAUCUGUGACCUCUUCGAGGAGAUCAAUGUUGUUAUUGAUGAACAGGUCGAGCUAGCUGGUAUCCGCGAUGCUGAGCAAGGAGUGAUGCUGUGGAACUGGGCCUCCACGCCCAUCCUAAUUCCCCAAACUCCUCGGUAGAAGGGCAUCGUUUCAUGCAUUUUUAAAUCGGUGGUAGUCUGGAAGAGGCCCGAGACCCACCAUUUUCAUAUUUUUUAGCUGUUUUGAAUUUUUAAAUUUCCAUCGUGAUGUUCAAAGAAGGCAACAUGGCCCUAUGACAUUGCCAAAGUUUGCAUUAUUCUCCAAUUUGAAUGAAAGCCUCUUCUGUUUUUAAAAUCUA